UACAGGGGGGGCAAGCGUUGUUCGGAAUUACUGGGCGUAAAGGGCUCGUAGGUGGCCAACUAAGUCAGACGUGAAAUCCCUCAGCUUAACUGGGGAACUGCGUCUGAUACUGGAUGGCUUGAGUUUGGGAGAGGGAUGCGGAAUUCCAGGUGUAGCGGUGAAAUGCGUAGAUAUCUGGAGGAACACCGGUGGCGAAGGCGGCAUCCUGGACCACAACUGACGCUGAGGCGCGAAAGCGUGGGGAGCAAACAGG
This 253-nucleotide ribosomal RNA is filed under the name uncultured bacterium. Its description in RNAcentral is "partial 16S ribosomal RNA". It matches the Rfam family "Bacterial small subunit ribosomal RNA", at positions 524 to 776 of the family's 1533-position model. The record is from RNAcentral.